AUAAUACUCCUUCCGUCCCAAAAUUCUUAUUUUAGAUUUGUCUAGAUAUAAAUGUAUCUAGUCACGUUUUAAUAUUUAGAUACAUCCAUUUCUAAACAAACAUAAGACACGAAUUUUAGAACGGGGGGAGUAUAGA
RNAcentral lists this microRNA precursor (136 nucleotides) under Hordeum vulgare. RNAcentral's name for it is "microRNA MIR1122". It matches the Rfam family "MIR1120/MIR1122 microRNA precursor family". Lineage: Eukaryota; Viridiplantae; Streptophyta; Magnoliopsida; Poales; Poaceae. The record is from RNAcentral.